Molecule: long non-coding RNA, 562 nt
Filed under: Callithrix jacchus (white-tufted-ear marmoset)
Lineage: Eukaryota; Metazoa; Chordata; Mammalia; Primates; Cebidae
Description: lncRNA (ENSCJAG00000079587.1)
Source: RNAcentral
GCCUUAUUGCUCUGUCCUUCUGGUGGAAAGGAAGGCAGGAGAGAGCACUUUCUUCAAACUUGAACCAUUUUAUAAGGAUGCUAAACCCAGUAAUGAGGGUGGAGUUAGCCACUUUUCAACAGCCACACCUUUUAACACACACUGUUGCAUUUAGGAUUAAGUUUCAACAUGAAUUUUGGAGGAGACACCAUCAUUCAAACCAUAGCACCAUCUUUUGGGAUCUAUAGAUAAGGAUUCAUAACCAUAUGAAGAAUUAAAAUCAUAGAAGACACUUAUCAUUGUUGUUAUUUUUGCUAUUACUUGGCCACAUGGCCUCCUACCUGUGACAGCAAUUAUAAUAGUGAUGAUGAUGAUGAUAUGACAAACAUAAUAAGCAUUUAUUGGGUCAAUGAAAGAGAUAUUUAAAGCUCCCAGCACAGUGUCUUGCCUGUGGUAAGUACCUAUAUUAUAAUCAUGGAUGAUUGAAAGAUACUCAUGCCUGAUAUUUAUUUCUAUAAUAUUAAUUAUGCAUAUUCUUUGAAAAAUUAAGCAAUUAUUUUUGGGAUAAUUACUUAACUUAAAC